This 403-nucleotide ribosomal RNA is filed under the name uncultured bacterium. RNAcentral's name for it is "partial 16S ribosomal RNA". It matches the Rfam family "Bacterial small subunit ribosomal RNA", at positions 28 to 526 of the family's 1533-position model. The record is from RNAcentral.
GACGAACGCUGGCGGCGUGCCUAAUACAUGCAAGUCGAACGCAGUGGGGACGGGUGAGGAACACGUGGGUAACCUCCCAUCAGAGGGGAUAACACUUGGAAACAGGUGCUAAAACGAUACUGAUGGAUGGACGCGGGGUGCAUUAGCAAGUGGGGGGGGGAACGGCUCACCAAGGCCACGAUGCAUAGCCAACCUGUGAGGGUGAUCAGCCACACUGGGAGUGAGAUACGGCCCAGACGCCUACGGGAGGCAGCAGUAGGGAAGCUUCGGCAAUGGACGAGAGUCUGACCGAGCAACGCCGCGUGAGUGAAAAAGUUUUUCGGAUAGUAAAACUCGGUUGUUAGUGAAGCGGUAUCUAACGAGAAAGCCACGGCUAACUACGUGCCAGCAGCCGCGGUAAUUC